RNAcentral lists this unclassified non-coding RNA (292 nucleotides) under Hevea brasiliensis (rubber tree). The record is from RNAcentral. Lineage: Eukaryota; Viridiplantae; Streptophyta; Magnoliopsida; Malpighiales; Euphorbiaceae.
AGAGGAUUUAAAGUGGUACUUGACCACUAGCAUGCUUGAUAGAUAGAUACCAUCAUCCUAGCAUGCUUGACAGAUAGUCAGAUACCAUCAUCCCUAAAACAUCUUAGUAAUUUGUAUGUUUUAUCAUAAGCACCAUAGUCCUGACAUUUUAAUGUACAGACUGUCCAUUCUUUCUAGGUGUUUUACCAUGUUAGCAUUUACACAAUUCAAUUACAAAAAUAGAUAGAAAGGAAAGUUCCUUAAACAUAAUGUCACUAUCAAAGAAAGUAGUUAAUAAAGCAAAUUCAAAUAA